UUAUCCACCGGGACCGCUCCUGCCUCCUCCGGACCCCCUCCCGCGGCGUGCGAGGGAGGGAAGGAGGGAGGCGGCUCUUUUCGGUGGGGCUUCCCCCGCGCCGGGAGUUUCGUGUCCGUGCAGGGGGUGCGGCCGCGGACUGGAGGAGGGAGAGAAACGAAAGUGGCGGAUGGUAACACGGAAGUGAACACGGUGGGCCCCGGCGGGAAGCUUGACUUGGGCGAUCAGGCGGCGACAGCGACCUUGAUCCGACGCGGGACAUGCCCCCACGCCGCCCGGGCGCAGGGACAGCCGUCACCCGCAGCUCAGGAACCCGCGACAGGUGAGGUCGUAGGCCGUGGUGGCGGAAGGGGAAUGCCGGACAUCCCGCUCCUCGUUAGUAUAGUGACGUUCCUCGACUGGGUUUGUGCCGAGAGUCAAAAGAACAAUCAUUCCGGGGCUGGGAACAGUGUGAAGUGCUGUUUAGAGACCCUGGGGGCAACGGGCAACACCUGAUCCAUCUCUGACCUCCUCGGCAAAGGAGCUGGCCUGAGGCAGGGGUGUUAUCCUGUCGUGACCACAGCUGACAUGCUCAAUGCUGAAAGAUUUUCUCCUCAAAUGGACAGCCAGCCUUCCCCUCUCCUCAGGUAACAUGGUGCCCCAACCUGGACUCUCCCAGAUACUGAUCAGCCAAGUCAUGCUACUGCAGCAUCAAAAUACAUGUGAUUAAGUACCACCUUUUCCACAACUUCCUGAAAGCAGAGUUUAAGGUUUAAAAUCAUAUCAAAUAUUCCCUUUAUUCUUUACAAAAAUGUGUUUAAGCAUCCAAACAUUUUCUAAGGGUAAGCAGUGCUAUUUAGGCACAGAUAAUGCUUUCAUUUCACUGGGAGAACACUUCACAGUAAUUUGCCAUUUUGCAGUCAAUCACAUGAGUUGAGAAAGUCCUAAAACAUGCACAGUAGCCCUGUGAGGCCAUCACCAGUCCUUCACAAGGCAACAGCAACAGGGGGUGACAAUAUUAGCCCAUCAAUCGAAAAGAGUGAGUUCACGUAUUUGCAAGUUGUAACAAGUCUACAGCAUAAGUAAGGCACCAGGCAAGAUAUAAAUAGACACAAUGAAACGCCAUGCAACAGCAGUGCGAAUGAACUGGUUCGCAGGCGUUCCCGUUCUCUCAAAUGGCUCAGUGUGAGCAAUCCAUCUUCUUCAUGAUCCGUGUCAGUGCACCCAGUCUUUGGGAUUUCGCAGAACCUCCAGGAUUUCUGCUUCUUUGGAGCUCUCUGGCGGGGUGUGCAUGUACUCCCACCUGCAGGGAGAGGGGAAACUCACUCAGACUGCCCAGCUGGCUGCCACCUCUCCCGGACCAGGCAGUGUUUGGACUGAAGUUGCCUUUUUUGGGCAUGCAAAGCUAAAUACACAGUUGAUACUCAGCUCAGGAGACAGAUAUGUAAGUAAGUUCAGUAAAAACAAAUAUUAUCAACACCGGGGAACACAGGAAAAAUGUUAGCUUCAUCUUUUUACCAACUUCUGAAAAAGCUGAAAGAACAAGGAAAAAGGGAAGAGCAAUGCCCCCGUGCCCCAAAAUGCAUGCAGGUUGAUUUGCAAAAAUCUUCUAGCAGUCUCUUGUGACAUACUAACAUCCCAAGGAAGAUGAGUAGAAAAGGAACCCACAGAAUUUUCACAGUGAGGACACAAGAUUUAGGUUUUCCAGAAUAUGGACUGGAAGCUCUACAAGUCCUUGUUGAAUCUUGGUUUUAAAAACAAAGGUGAUGAAAGAUCGCUUUUUUAUUGAAAAGGCAAUUAAAAGAGGCGUGACAGAGAAAGCAUCAGCAGUCAGAGAUGGGUACAUCCUCUUUCCAUUUUUUCCCCAGGAAGGAACCAUUCAUGCUGUGAAGCAAGCUAUUUACACUGAUGAAAACAAGCAAAACCAGAUCAUCCUAGAAACGAAAUCAGAAGAUAGGAGUGUGCUACACCACCAGGUCAGGGACUCAUGUAGUGUUGGCAGUGGGAUGAAGGUAUAUGGUGAGAAAAGGACUGCCUUCAUGGUAAGGGGUAGCAGGCAAAGGGAGGAAGGAGGUGGAAGGAGGUCACUAGUAAACUUUACGGAAUUCAUGAUAGGGUCUGUGCUACUCAGUGUUACCUAAAAGCAACCUGAAAAUGGGGGUAAACAGUAAGUGACUGAAUUUCCUGAUAUUGCAAGAGUAAGCAAGAUGGGUUAAAACAAAAAAAGCCGUUGAAAACAGUUAGUAUUAAGCCAAGCAACAGAGCAAUAAAAUGGCAGGUGAAAUUCACUGUUGAUGGUGUGAAGUGAUGGACACAGAAAAAGCUGUAUACAGAUUGACUUAAAUUUGAGUUCAAUUUUAUUGCCCAGAAAAGACUCUCGCAUUGUAACAGUUCUAUGAAAAAGCCAGCUUAAUGCUGAGCAGCAGUCAAAACCAGCAAACAGAAUACUAGGAUUAUGAAAGGAAUAAUGAAUUAAAACUUCAUUAUGCCACUGUAUGAUCUUGGAUACACAUAUGUAUCUUAUGGUGUUGGUUCCUUAUCCCUAGUUCAGAAAGGGCACAGAAAACUUAAGCCUAGAGAAAGUGGCAAAUGUGAUCAAAAGGAUGGAACAGUGACUGUACAAAGACUAAAAAUACCAGGAAUCGUUAGCCUGGAAAACUGGCAAUGAAAAAACAGAAGUUUGUAAAAUAAGAACAGUUAUGGAGAAACACAACAGCAAGAAAAUCAUGUUACUCAGUGAAAAAUCAAACGAAGCCAUCAGAGGCAAGUAGAAAACGAAGAGGCACUUUUUCAUACAACACACAGUUAAACUAUGAAGCUCCUUGUCACACAUUUGUCAGGACUGCCAGAAUCUCACAUGAUUUCAAAGAGCUACUAAACAAAAAUCCAUGGAGCAAGGAGAGAAAAAUCUAUCAAGAGGUACUAAGCAGAAAAACCAUCCAUUUUUUUUGUCAGAAAAUAUCUCAGCCACACACUACUGGCAACUAGCUGAGUGUAGGAGAUCAGAGAAGCAUCUGCAUGUAUUUGGGCAGUUCUUGUAUCAGGCAUGAACUAGCCACUGUAAAGUGAUGGGACACCACGACAGACCUUUGAUUUAAUCCUAUUAACUAUUUUAAUAAGAACAGUAACCUACCUGCAGUCCCACAUAGCUACACCCUUACCUUGCAGUCAGGGGCAGAGACAUAAGAAUGCUUUCAAUCCUUGAUCCUGGUGUCAGGAGGCCAAACUUUGUACCUCUGUCAUAAACCAAGUUGAACUCUACAUACCUACAGGGAGUGAAGAGAUGCAAAGAAAAAACAAGUUUAUUAGCAGAAGUUGGUUGUGCCUUCUUCAACUAGCAGAUAACAAACAAAACCAGCCUAUCUUUCUGCUGUGUUGGGUGUCAGAAUGAACCCUGUUUUGGAGUGAACUGUUCUUCAGCAUCCUCUGCAGGAAUGCAAUUAUCACCUUGCCACUCCACAAAGCACAGGGAGUAGUGACCUUGGCAAACAGACUAGAGCAGACAAACUGUUCAAAGGAGAGCAUUCUGCAGGCUGCUGUACUGUGCUAUGCUUCUCCCAGGCCUCAACCCUGCUGACAAGCUCGACACCGUGUUUACCUUGGUUUUCUCUUUUGUGUGGUGGCAUCAGACAUAAAGAGGGGCCUUAAAGGAACUGAGAAUAACCAGAGAAAGAAUUCUACUGUGCAGUCCUCUAUGCUGAAGGACACAUAAGCAGUAAGGUCUGAACAGUAUUUUUUGUUUCUUGGGGAGAUCUGGAAAGAAGCAGAAGUCAAACAGCUUCAGAGUGCUGGCUAGGAGUUGUAAUAUCAAAAUAUACCACUUUUCUGCCCACAGUAUAGGAACAGAGCAGUGACAAUUCAUCAGGGAUUAUCUUAGUAGCUAGUACAGAUGUGUUAGUAUUUAACAGAGAUAAAGGAAGGGAAGAGUUCUUACCUAUCUGCAAAAAUGGAAAGCUUUACCUAGCCAAACAACCUGCAAACAGACACAGGGAAAUAGGCAGGCCUCAAGAGCUGGUUCUGGCUGCAGCUUAAAGAAGCUGUUCCCCCUUAUAAACUUAGCAAGUUUGCUAAAUCCCAUCCACAGACUGGAUCCUGGAAGCCCCACGUUCCCAGGAACGGUCCCACCAAAUUAAGGACACUUGCUUAUCUGACUAAUGGCUGCAGGCCAGUGAUCUAAACUUAAAUGCUUAUACUCUUUCCAUGCCAGUAUCACAGAUUUCUCUGCAGAAGAGACAGAAACUGAAGACCCUACUCCUGCACAAAGCAUGUGUGUUCUCAUUUUUCCAUGUGCUUACACAAUCACAGGAUACAGGGAACGGAGUACAACUGUAUUGACCAGUGUACUUAAGCUUUUGCAACAUUAACAGCUGGUCACAUUAGAAGCAUCCUCCAAAGUCUUUUAAGUUACAGCAACUUUGGACCAUGCCAGAAUAAAAAAACCCAACCCUCUGUAUCUUUACUCCUUUACAGGAAUCCUCAUUUCAAUGCCAAGAUCAGAUGGAACAAAUAUGUAUGUAAGAACGUGAAGGUACUUGAGCACAGUUACUUCUUGACUUUGUGAAGUUUUGUUUCAUUACUGAACAGGAAGCACAAUUCCCUCACCCUCAGGCUCCUCAUGUGACAAGGGUAGUCCUAUAUCCCAUAUGAUUGGGCCGCAGGAGAGGGCUGGAUUCAGGACACCAAGCACACCCAUACCCCUUUGCCGGUUGCACAACAGCAGCUUCUCUUGGUUUUUGAAAGAGCUGGAGAAAAACUGUGGCAUUUUGUUUGUGUUGCUUGUAUUCUAACAUGGGAAAGUGGGAAAUACAGAUAAGGGCGUGCUACUACCUUCUUUGCACCCCUUUUGGCAACUUAGCAUUGGAUUUCAAAAUUAGUUCUGUGCACAAAAAUGCUGAAAUUCUCUGAUGAACUUUUUUAGCCCACACUACAACAGGACAUUAACCUGUAACCAUAAAGAACUAGCUCAGUUUUUUUCUUGCCAGCAUAAUCCACCUCCUGUGUAUUCUUUAGCUCCUUCAGUACUCACCGUCCUCUCCGAAGCUGCUGCCAUAGCUUUUCCUCUGGCGUGAAGGAGUCAUGGCGGUGCUUUUUCACAAUGGGAAUGUAACAAGGCACAACAGCUUUGGCACAACUCUUCACAAACUGGAACACUUCCUCCUUGGAGGGAGAGUCCACGUCGUCAAAGAAUAUGCCUCCAAUCCCUCUUCGCUCGCCACGGUGCUUGAUAUAGAAGUAGUCAUCACACCUAGAAGAAGUACCAGAUGUUUAUUAAUAUGGUCCACAGUAUUGAAAGCAAUGAACAGAACUCCAAACAGCUAUGUGGCACAGGACUAGCACUGACCAGAAGUCAGUUCCUGCAUUGCCCAGUGCCCCACUGUUUUACUGACUACCGAGAGCCAGGAUGGUGCAGCACCCUCUGGAAAGCACUCCUGUGUCACUUGCAGUAAAGCUCUGAUUAGACGGUCUCUGCAAAGCUACAUGUCACCACACAGUCACUGAACAGUAACACUCAAACACUAUGGCAGCUGCAUCCACAUGGAGUGAUCCAAUCCAUAUCCCCUACCUACUCAGAACAGGGUCACCUGAUCUCAAAACUUCGCCCUAAGAGCUCUUGCUAGAUUUCAUUCCCAGCGUUAUAUGCAGAUCCCAAAUUAUUUGUACAGCUUUCAGUUUAAUUCAGACUUGGAAGGGAAUUUCUUUAUUAUUUUUGCCAUUCUAGUAAAAGAAUUGAUUUUCUUCAUCAAAACAAAAGGGAUCUAAAAACCUAAGACCAGAUAAGAAAGCAAGUGUCAUGGCAGCCUUCCUUGGAAAAAGGCUUUUUAAUAGUUAAAACCUGUAAGAUUGAGUCAUCAUAGCAGUGGCUUUUCAUGGCUUAUGUUCAAGUUUAUAAAUGUGUAAGGGCAGUUUAUUCUACAACAGAAAGGCAAUUAAUCUCUUUUGUAUUUACAGGGGGUAUGUAGCUGUGCAAUUACUAUAUAUAAAUGAUUCAUUGUAUCCACACCCUAUCUCGCUUAGAGUUGCUUUAUUGGGCAGUCAUGCCCUGAAAGUCUUCAUAUAGAAAAGAAAUGGAAAGAAAAUAGGAAGCAGAAACCAUCAACAUUAAGAACACCUUGCCUUCUUUUAGAACUAGUUUUCCAUACAUGUGUCCAUCCUCAAUCAUUCUCAAGCAAUAUAUAUGGCAUGGCCAAAGCAGAAGAGACAUGGAGAUGUAACUGCUAACGUAAGUUAUUUUUUUAUUCACUGUGAUGAUCAGCUUUUUUAUUUAAUGGCAGCAGGAAGAGUUAAUAAAAAGGCUGAGUGAGAAAUGCAAAAAGAGAACAAGGCUGACAAAAGUCUUAAACCUAGAUCAGGAAGACAAUGUGGUAAAUGUAACAAUAGCUUUUAUCUUUGAGAAAGGUGGGAAAAGGUCUCCGACCCCACCCCCACCCCACAGCUGCCUACUUAGGCUGCAGACGACCUGACCAUUAAGGCACAUACUCUGAACUACCAUGCAAAAACUCCUCAGAGAACAAGACUGUAAUCUCAAGGCUCUAAGUUGUAUCUCCUUAUUAAGUGGUUGCCACCCAAACUAUAACACCCACUUUAUCUCCUGUCCUCAGAGGAGACCUAGUGCCUUACAAAAGGGUAUCCCCUCCUUCCUGGAUACCACAGCCUGUGGCAGAUAGGAUUAUCAGACACAGAGCAGCAAGCCGCCGCUUACUAGUGAAGGAUCAGAUCACUUGUAUCUCUUAGCUCAAGAAGAACAUUCAAAGUUUGCAUCUUAGAGAAUAUGCUGUUGAACUCACAGUGAAUUUUUCACCGGGGAAAAAACUACAGCUUCAUCUAAAUUAUGACGCUUCUACAUUAAGGACAAUCUCCUUUACUUACCUGGAAAAAAACCAGAAAAACAAAACAGGCCAUGAUGGUCAGAGUGAAGACAGAAAAAUCUGAGUGGGAUUUUCAGAACCACAACGCUGGCCCAAGAGCUCACACUGAAUCAUGCACAUUUACCAUGAGCUCACUGUAAGCACGAUUUGUGCAAGUCCACGGGGAAAAAAUCUUGUCCUAGUUUAACACUAGAGGUUAAAAGGAAUUUUUAAGUUGCCUAGUGAAGUCUGUGGCUUACAACCACUCUUGUAGAGUCAGCCUGGUUUUUAUUUGGGCUAUAGACUUAUGAUCCUAGUUGUCAGCCCCCUAAUUUGAAAGGGCUGACAGGCUUCUGUAAAUAAGAGAUUUCUUCAGACUACAUUUUGUCCCAGUACACUUCCGCUAAUUUUUCUUAGGGUUUGCUGAUACUUUUUAAAAGGCAGCAGAACCUACAGUUCUUAGAGUACACUUAACUGGCAACAUCUAGUGCUGCUUUCUACUCCCCCCCAAGUGCAUCUCUCCCCACAUACCAUUUCUUGUACUUGGGAUACAGCUUCAGAUCAUGCUUGUCACAGGCUUCUUUCAGAGUCUUGUGAAAAUGAACAGCAUCCUCUUCAUUCAGGUAAGUUGGAGUGAGAUCAGUCCCACCACCAAACCACCACUGCUUAGUUCCUAUAAGAGAGGAAAGCAGCAACAUUUUUCUUUUACACUUCUAAACAGCAAGGUUCACGUAGCAUUAACAACUACUUUUAAAAUACAAAACAAAAUCAUUAUUCAGUGGUGCCCCUAAACCUCGGUCAUGAAAAAUUUGACUUCAAGGUAGUGAACUUCCAUUUCCAGUGACUUCAGGAAAACAUGAAAGACAUUUCAAAGCAGUUAAAACCAGUCAUUCAGUAUUUUGGACCACUGAUCCACAGAAUAUCAGUUUCACAAGAUGGGCUGGCAACUCUUAUUCAAGAAUGCAGAAACAUUUUACUGUGUGCCAAAGAAAGGGAACAUCAUUAUUACAUCCAGGGAAGUAACUGGCUAGAAAUGAUCCAUAAUGCUGUGGCAAAACAACUGAAAGAAAACUCUCUUUGAGCUUCUGACAGUACAUACACUGUCACAAGAUACAGAUGGCCCUUCAGUGUUUGACCACCUAGACAAGGGUCCCAUUUCUGACAGUGCCAAGUUGCAGAAAGUUGGGGAAAUAAGGCACAAUGCAGUCAGUGAGCAGUGUUUCUGACAGUACGUCCUUCCAGCUGCUGAGACAAAGGCACAUCAUGACCAGAAUGUUUAUCAGCCCUUCACAAACAUUUCUCCUUCUAAAUUCUAGGAUUGCUGCUCUGAAUGUAUUUCACAUUUAUUUACAAUCUCCUACGUUUUUAACUUCGAUCUGAAACCCCCGGUAUACUCUACAAAAAGCAAACCCCUUUUACUCUACCACAUGCACUCGUUACACUCAUUUUACAAAUGCACAAAGGCCAGAGAUAAGGAGAUCCAAUGCUAAACAACAGAUUCUUGGCACAGCUGGGAACAAACCUGGACUGGUUCUUAACCUCUUACCCUAGCCAUGCAUUCACGCUUCCUUCAUGUGAAGUCAUACAUUUCAUACAUGCUUCAUUGGAUUAAAAUUCUUACCAUCUGC
This is a long non-coding RNA of Pipra filicauda (Wire-tailed manakin), 8452 nucleotides long. RefSeq lists it as uncharacterized. Lineage: Eukaryota; Metazoa; Chordata; Aves; Passeriformes; Pipridae. The transcript is spliced from 3 exons. The record is from RefSeq and is a predicted model, not a curated record.